This 152-nucleotide small nucleolar RNA is filed under the name Capronia epimyces CBS 606.96. The record is from RNAcentral. Lineage: Eukaryota; Fungi; Ascomycota; Eurotiomycetes; Chaetothyriales; Herpotrichiellaceae.
ACUCGGGUUGAUAACUAGGCGGUGGUUUCAAUAUUCCUCGACGACCUUUGCCCUUUAAGUAUCCGAGAGAUUGAAUUUUUCCGCGGUCGAUCUUACACAUUUACUUGCCUUUCCAUCCGUGUUUGUACAAUGUUUAUUCGGCCGCAACACCU